RNAcentral lists this ribosomal RNA (428 nucleotides) under uncultured eukaryote. RNAcentral describes it as "bacterial SSU rRNA". It matches the Rfam family "Eukaryotic small subunit ribosomal RNA", at positions 592 to 1018 of the family's 1831-position model. The record is from RNAcentral.
CAAUAGCGUAUAUUAAUGUUGUUGCAGUUAAAAAGCUCGUAGUUGGAUUUCUGUUUGGAAUGAUGGGUCCAUGUCGCAAGAUAUGUGUACUAUGUCAUUUCUGAACAUCUUUGGGGAGAGUGCGUUUGUGCUUAAUUGUAUGGGCGUAGGAUCCUCAUCGUUUACUGUGAAAAAAUUAGAGUGUUUAAAGCAGGCAUUUGCAUUGAAUACAUUAGCAUGGAAUAAUAAGAUAGGACUUUGGUGCUAUUUUGUUGGUUUGCACACCAAGGUAAUGAUUAACAGGGACAGUUGGGGGUAUUCGUAUUUAAUUGUCAGAGGUGAAAUUCUUGGAUUUAUGAAAGACGAACUACUGCGAAAGCAUUUACCAAGGAUGUUUUCUAUUAAUUCAAGAACGAAAGUAGAAGGGAUCGAAGAUGAUCAGAUACCGU